GAUGAAGAACGUAGCGAAAUGCGAUAAGUAAUGUGAAUUGCAUAAUUCCGUGAAUCAUCGAAUCUUUGAACGCACAUUGCGCCCCCUGGCAUUCCGGGGGGCAUGCCUGUCCGAGCGUCAUUUCUGCCCUCCAGCCCGGCUGGGUGUUGGGCGCUGUCCCCCCGGGGACACGCCCCAAAGGCAGUGGCGGCGCCGCGUCGGGUCCUCGAGCGUAUGGGGCUUUGUCACCCGCUCGGGACGGACUCGUCGGCGCUGGUCUUCCUCCAGGCGACCCUUCGGGGCUCGUCUUCCUUCGGUUGACCUCGGAUCAGGUAGGGUUACCCGCUGAACUUAAGCAUAUCAAUAAGCGGAGGA
Molecule: unclassified non-coding RNA, 354 nt
Filed under: soil metagenome
Description: partial contains 5.8S ribosomal RNA, internal transcribed spacer 2, and large subunit ribosomal RNA
Rfam family: 5.8S ribosomal RNA (bases 1-120)
Source: RNAcentral